GACGAACGCUGGCGGCACGCCUAACACAUGCAAGUCGAACGGACUUAAAAGAGCUUGCUUUUUUUAGUUAGUGGCGGACGGGUGAGUAACACGUGAGCAACCUGCCUCUGAGAGGGGGAUAGCUUCUGGAAACGGAUGGUAAUACCCCAUAAAAUAUAAAUAUCGCAUGAUAGCUAUAUCAAAGAAAUUCGCUCAGAGAUGGGCUCGCGUCUGAUUAGAUAGUUGGUGUGGUAACGGCUCACCAAGUCGACGAUCAGUACCCGGACUGAGAGGUUGAACGGCCACAUUGGGACUGAGAAACGGCCCAGACUCCUACGGGAGGCAGCAGUGGGGAAUAUUGCACAAUGGAGGGAACUCUGAUGCAGCGCUGCCGCGUGGAGGAAGAAGGUUUUCGGAUUGUAAACUCCUUUUAUCAGGGACGAUAAUGACGGUACCUGAAGAAAAAGCUCCGGCUAACUACGUG
RNAcentral lists this ribosomal RNA (463 nucleotides) under uncultured bacterium. RNAcentral's name for it is "partial 16S ribosomal RNA". It matches the Rfam family "Bacterial small subunit ribosomal RNA", at positions 28 to 507 of the family's 1533-position model. The record is from RNAcentral.